AGGGGAUUUGUUGCCACAUGCUAGUGCAAUUUUAUUGAAUUAAAUUAAAGGGUAAGCCACCUGUUUCUUAGGUAAAGGGUAAGCCAAAAAUAUGUUUUUUUUCUUGCUACCAAUACCAUGGAUAGGAUUAUUUGAGGUAUUUUGAUUAUUUUAUAGCAAAUGAACUUGAUGUCUCUAUUGAAGUUUGAAAGUGUCUUGGGAAGGUAGGAAUUGGGAGUUGACAAAAUUGAAAGAUAAGAUUUUGAUAAUAAAGAGAAUGCUUGGGGAGUGGAGGAGCAUUCUCAUUUCCAUAUUGAGGAAAAAUGGAAAUAUGCAAAGUUGCUCAAAUCAUAGAGAUAUCAAGCUCUAAGUCAUACUAUAAACCUUUGGUAAAGAGUAACAGAGCACAAAAACACAACCAAAUUUCAAAUCUAAUCGUCUUUUAUGCAAGGAAUAUUAAAUAUGGAAGCAAUUUUUCUCAUAAGAGGGUUGAUGGAGGAGCAUCAAGAGAAAUGAAGAUCUACCAUAUGUGUUCCUAUUUGCAUUAGUUAUUAUGGAGUAGAAUAAGAUCCAGAUAUGUUUCUUUGUAUUGUGUUUAAGAAGAUCAAUCUCACAAUGAGUUAAUAUUGAGAUUUUGGAAGGGAGAAUCUUUAGGACUCAUAAUAAAGUUUUCCUAAAAGCAAACAACCUUUAGAAGAGAUCACUGUUGAUUGGGAUUAUCAACCAUUGCACCCGGAAAUUAUGAUGUAGGUAGCCUAGAAAUUAAUAAAUUGUUGCAAUAGAUGUUGUUUUACAAAACUUAUGCUUCUUAUUGUUCAAACUUGGCUAAUAUCAAAAUCUGAUGUAGUGUAAGACAACUCUUUAUAAUAAAGGUAAGUGAAAAGUUCAUGGAAGUAUCUUGUGGCUUAGGGCUUUGACCCUUAAAGGAAAUUUUGGUAUUAUUUUAGUACCAUGAAGUUUCACAAUUCUCACUUUAUUAUUAUUUUGAAUAAUAUCAUUAAAUUUUAUUUAAACAGCAAAGUAACUCAUUGUAUGAAGUCAAAUGCUUUGUUAAUUAUAUUUAUAAUAUGCCUAGAGAGAACUUACCUUUUUUGUAUGUCUUAUUUUCUUUUCUCUAUAAUUUUAAGAAUUUUUUUUUUCUUAACAAGAAAAGGGACACAGCCUAAUUGUAUGAAAAAUGAUUAGAAAAUUCCAUUGUCCCUUGAGUGUCAAAGAACUAUGACAUUUUUUUUUUUGUUUCUCUCUAAAAGUAAAAUAAAAUAUUAACUACUAUUCUGAACAUAGUGCUAUCAAUAGGGUUGUUAUAAGGUAAAUAGAUCCCUUUGUGUGUGCGCACGUGCACGCGAAUCAUAGAGAUUGGUUAUGUUUGAGUGUGGAAAGAUAGGUAGAUAUGCAUAUAAGAGACUUUCUAUUUAUGUUUGAAUGACAAUCAAGGUUUUAUUAUACUAGAUUAUGGUAGAUAAUAUGAACUU
RNAcentral lists this unclassified non-coding RNA (1451 nucleotides) under Hevea brasiliensis (rubber tree). Lineage: Eukaryota; Viridiplantae; Streptophyta; Magnoliopsida; Malpighiales; Euphorbiaceae. The record is from RNAcentral.